This 255-nucleotide unclassified non-coding RNA is filed under the name Athalia rosae (coleseed sawfly). Its description in RNAcentral is "misc RNA ENSAEAG00005006773.1". The record is from RNAcentral. Lineage: Eukaryota; Metazoa; Arthropoda; Insecta; Hymenoptera; Athaliidae.
GUUUGGAUAGGGUCUUGGAUGGCUUUGAGAUCCUACGAACUACUGUCCCAGUAGCGUCUAUAGCCAGAAUUGAAUUUUCUUGAAUGCAGUAUUGUCUGCACAAGUUAAGCUGGUGAUUAGUCCAAUAAUGCACGAAGAAUAGACUCAGACCAUGCCAAAUACCGUAGAUGGAAUUCGGUAACUACUGGCCUGCUCCCUGAGUGUUUUGACAGCAUACAAGUGCGGAGGCUCAUUGUCAGCAUCGUGGACGUUCAU